RNAcentral lists this long non-coding RNA (664 nucleotides) under Macaca fascicularis (crab-eating macaque). RNAcentral's name for it is "lncRNA (ENSMFAG00000047037.2)". Lineage: Eukaryota; Metazoa; Chordata; Mammalia; Primates; Cercopithecidae. The record is from RNAcentral.
GACACAGGACAGGAAUAUAACUUGAGUUCUCAGAACAGUUUUCUCUGCUUGCAGGAAAGGAAGAAAAGCAGGCCCAAGAUUAUUCUGAGACAACUGGAGGGUGACAAGACUUAAGUAGAGAAGUACUGUGUUUCACAUUUUGAGCCAACCAGAUAAUCUGUGGAUACAUUUUGUAGUCCAUUGUAGAUUCCCAAACAACCAGAUGCCUUUUUUCUUCUUUGGAAUCAGUAGGAUUUAAAUAAUAUGCCUGGAAGACUUCUGAACCACUAGCAUCUUCAAGUUCCUGGCUAAAUUUACAGCCUCUUGUGUUCAGCACCUGGAUUGUGCUCAGGAUGGCAAGAGAACAAAGCAAUCUGCUUGCUGUACUUGGGAUAGAGAAGACCUGCACGAGAAAGCCAGAUAUUCAAGAUGGUGUGAUUUCUAUCACAAGCUCUGAAGGACAGCAUGGCAGGACUUAACUGCAGACCAGUGUUUUCAUUAGAAGGAACGAACUGCCUGUAGAUGUGUCCUUACAACUCCAUUGUGCUCUGAACAGCUUCUUGCUGACCGCUGCCUCAAUAUCAGUGAUUCCACCUUAGACCAUAAGCUCCAUGAGGGUAAGAAUCAAGUACUUGUUUUGUUUUGUUUUUGUUACCGUAUGGACUCAGUGACUAGCACAGGCUGU